CUGCCAUUAGCCGUGGUGUCGUCCACGGUGCUGUCCACCGGUUAUGUGCCGCCAGACACCUCAUCUGUUCCCCUGACCCUGGAUUCCCUUGCUGAAGUAGUCCGGGAAAUCUCACGGAACAUGGCUGUCAUGCAGGGAAACAUGAUCGCGAUGCAGGGGAACAUCUCCUCCAUCCAUACCUACAUCACCGGCGCCCAGAACCCACCGCUGCCUGCCUCCACCCCCAUGCCACUGCCGCCCAACCCAUCUGCGCCGCCGCCCACCGCAUCUCUCCCAACAUCCGCCGCUGCCGCAUCCUCCAUGGCCGGGGCUGCGCCUGGCGUACCGCUGCACUUGAUGCAGUGGCCCCGAUCACCGUUGCAAGUCCCGUCAUAUGUGCUGCAGCCGCCGAUCUACUCUACUCCGGCGACCAUCACGUCGUCGGUAGUGCAGUUUGAAGCCCCCCACGCUCCAGCCUCUGGGGGGGUCUUCUACGGAGGCGUCGAGGGAGUCCUCUUCCAUGAACCCACGACCCAGACAGCCUCCUCCGGGGUCGUCGAGCCCGCUGCUGGCCUGGGCUAUAGCCAGGCGGCACAGGCUCCCCCUCGCUACUACAAGAUCGACUUCCCCACCUAUGAUGGCAGCGUCGACCCCCUAAAUUGGUUGAACCAAUGCGAGUAG
RNAcentral lists this unclassified non-coding RNA (660 nucleotides) under Zea mays. RNAcentral's name for it is "misc RNA Zm00001eb053380". The record is from RNAcentral. Lineage: Eukaryota; Viridiplantae; Streptophyta; Magnoliopsida; Poales; Poaceae.